RNAcentral lists this small nucleolar RNA (129 nucleotides) under Mus pahari (shrew mouse). RNAcentral's name for it is "predicted gene, 25758 (MGP_PahariEiJ_G0034172.1)". It matches the Rfam family "Small nucleolar RNA SNORA17". From Rfam's summary of the family: snoRNA ACA 17 belongs to the H/ACA family of snoRNAs and is predicted to guide pseudouridylation of the 28S rRNA at positions U4659 and U4598. Lineage: Eukaryota; Metazoa; Chordata; Mammalia; Rodentia; Muridae. The record is from RNAcentral.
ACUGCCCCUAGAGGCUUUGCAGGAGUGGCUUCUGUAUCACCUGUGCUUCGGGAGGUGGCACCGAAGAGGGAGGCUUUCUCUAAGCUCAGUGUCCUGACCUGUGAACAUCUGAAUGAUUAGUCGCCUAAC